RNAcentral lists this small RNA (101 nucleotides) under Arabidopsis thaliana (thale cress). Its description in RNAcentral is "ATSL028060". Lineage: Eukaryota; Viridiplantae; Streptophyta; Magnoliopsida; Brassicales; Brassicaceae. The record is from RNAcentral.
UAUGAAAUUGAAUAUAAAUAUUCAAAUUAUGAUCCAGUACUCAGUAGAAAGUUUUCUUAAAUCUAUUUUUGACCCGUUAUAAUAUUUUUUUAUGUAUUGAA